This 503-nucleotide ribosomal RNA is filed under the name uncultured bacterium. Its description in RNAcentral is "bacterial SSU rRNA". It matches the Rfam family "Bacterial small subunit ribosomal RNA", at positions 29 to 525 of the family's 1533-position model. The record is from RNAcentral.
AACGAACGCUGGCGGCGUGUUUAAGACAUGCAAGUCGCACGGUGUAAAGUUGUAGCAAUAUGGCGAUACACAGUGGCGCACGGGUGAGUAACACGUGAAUGACAUGCCCUUGAGUGGGGGAUAGCCCAGGGAAACUUGGAUUAAUACCCCGUAGUCUCGCAAGAGUAAAGGUGGCAGCAAUGCUAUCGCUUAAGGAUUGGUUCGCGGCCUAUCAGCUUGUUGGUGAGGUAACGGCUCACCAAGGCAAUGACGGGUACCUGGUCUGAGAGGACGAUCAGGCACACUGGAACUGAGACACGGUCCAGACACCUACGGGUGGCAGCAGUCGAGAAUAAUUCACAAUGGGGGCAACCCUGAUGGUGCAACGCCGCGUGGAGGAUGAAGGUCUUCGGAUUGUAAACUCCUGUCAUCUGGGAGUAAGGCUUGGGUGUGAAUAGCACACAAGAUUGAUAGUACCAGAAGAGGAAGGGACGGCUAACUUCGUGCCAGCAGCCGCAGUAAAA